UUGGAUGAAUGGGAUGCCAUAGUCACCAGGGAUUUUACGGAUCGGAAGUUUGGUUGUUUGUGGUUGAGAGAUGGAGACUUGGAAGGGUGGUUUUUCUGAAACUGAGGAUCUUAUAGGUGGAAGAAAGGUGGAGGAACGUCGUGAUGAGGUGGUGGAAGAGGGUCUGUUUUGGUGUUUGAGGAGAUUAGGAGAAGGAGUUGAAAGAGUAGAGGAAGCCAUGCUUGGAGGUGGUGAAUGGUGAUGGUGGUGUAGAUAGUAGUUGAGUUUGUGAGAAGGUGG
RNAcentral lists this long non-coding RNA (279 nucleotides) under Medicago truncatula (barrel medic). RNAcentral's name for it is "long non-coding RNA (MTRU_LNC008322)". Lineage: Eukaryota; Viridiplantae; Streptophyta; Magnoliopsida; Fabales; Fabaceae. The record is from RNAcentral.